AGUGAACGCUGGCGGUAGGCCUAACACAUGCAAGUCGAACGGCAGCACAGUAAGAGCUUGCUCUUACGGGUGGCGAGUGGCGGACGGGUGAGGAAUACAUCGGAAUCUACUUUUUCGUGGGGGAUAACGUAGGGAAACUUACGCUAAUACCGCAUACGACCUACGGGUGAAAGCAGGGGAUCUUCGGACCUUGCGCGAUUGAAUGAGCCGAUGUCGGAUUAGCUGGUUGGCGGGGUAAAGGCCCACCAAGGCGACGAUCCGUAGCUGGUCUGAGAGGAUGAUCAGCCACACUGGAACUGAGACACGGUCCAGACUCCUACGGGAGGCAGCAGUGGGGAAUAUUGGACAAUGGGCGCAAGCCUGAUCCAGCCAUACCGCGUGGGUGAAGAAGGCCUUCGGGUUGUAAAGCCCUUUUGUUGGGAAAGAAAAGCAGCAGGUUAAUACCCCGCUGUUCUGACGGUACCCAAAGAAUAGCACCGGCUAACUUCGUG
This 491-nucleotide ribosomal RNA is filed under the name uncultured bacterium. RNAcentral describes it as "partial 16S ribosomal RNA". It matches the Rfam family "Bacterial small subunit ribosomal RNA", at positions 29 to 507 of the family's 1533-position model. The record is from RNAcentral.